RNAcentral lists this ribosomal RNA (213 nucleotides) under uncultured bacterium. RNAcentral describes it as "partial 16S ribosomal RNA". It matches the Rfam family "Bacterial small subunit ribosomal RNA", at positions 149 to 354 of the family's 1533-position model. The record is from RNAcentral.
CCUGGAAACAGAUGCUAAUACCGGAUAACAACACUAGACGCAUGUCUAGAGUUUAAAAGAUGGUUCUGCUAUCACUCUUGGAUGGACCUGCGGUGCAUUAGCUAGUUGGUAAGGCAACGGCUUACCAAGGCAAUGAUGCAUAGCCGAGUUGAGAGACUGAUCGGCCACAUUGGGACUGAGACACGGCCCAAACUCCUACGGGAGGCAGCAGGG